Varanus komodoensis (Komodo dragon) is the source of this 76-nucleotide long non-coding RNA. RefSeq lists it as uncharacterized. Lineage: Eukaryota; Metazoa; Chordata; Lepidosauria; Squamata; Varanidae. The transcript is spliced from 3 exons. The record is from RefSeq and is a predicted model, not a curated record.
GGAUGUUGAUGUUGUUGUCGUGUCACAAAGUCAUGACUAACCCUUCACAACCCCAUGGACAGCAUUCCUCCAGGCU